Molecule: unclassified non-coding RNA, 343 nt
Filed under: Hevea brasiliensis (rubber tree)
Lineage: Eukaryota; Viridiplantae; Streptophyta; Magnoliopsida; Malpighiales; Euphorbiaceae
Source: RNAcentral
GCCGCUCACUUUGUUUACUAUCUUAAUCUGGUGAAAUUGAUUCAAAAACUUACACAUAUGAAUAGUAAAUGAAGGACACUUUCUACUGAAUAUUCAACACCUUCGUACUUGAGGAAACACUUUAGUCUUGGAUACUUAAGGAAACACAUGAGUCCUCCCAUGUCCAACACUUAUAGACAAUAACAUAAAAAAAAAUGCAAAAUAAAAUAAAAACAUAAUAACAAUUAUUAAAUAGAAUCCCCAAAAUCAACCUAGUAGUGGCAAGUAAAACAGUAUGCUUAAAGAGUCCAACUGUCUAAAGCAAAAGCAAAGAAAAUAAAAUCAUAGCAGAAAGGUUGAUCAC